GGAGUUGUGCCUGAACCAAAGGGUCACUUUGAUAGAGCGAACAAUGGAGGUUAAAGUCCUCCCAACUCUU
This 70-nucleotide transfer RNA is filed under the name Pseudotolithus senegallus (law croaker). Its description in RNAcentral is "tRNA-Ile". It matches the Rfam family "tRNA". From Rfam's summary of the family: Transfer RNA (tRNA) molecules are approximately 80 nucleotides in length. Their secondary structure includes four short double-helical elements and three loops (D, anti-codon, and T loops). Further hydrogen bonds mediate the characteristic L-shaped molecular structure. tRNAs have two regions of fundamental functional importance: the anti-codon, which is responsible for specific mRNA codon recognition, and the 3' end, to which the tRNAs corresponding amino acid is attached (by aminoacyl-tRNA synthetases). tRNAs cope with the degeneracy of the genetic code in two manners: having more than one tRNA (with a specific anti-codon) for a particular amino acid; and 'wobble' base-pairing, i.e. permitting non-standard base-pairing at the 3rd anti-codon position. Lineage: Eukaryota; Metazoa; Chordata; Actinopteri; Sciaenidae. The record is from RNAcentral. RNAcentral also lists the same sequence under 1 other name.